Molecule: non-coding RNA, 215 nt
Filed under: Clostridiaceae bacterium
Lineage: Bacteria; Bacillati; Bacillota; Clostridia; Eubacteriales; Clostridiaceae
Description: 6S RNA
Rfam family: 6S / SsrS RNA
About the family: E. coli 6S RNA was the first non coding RNA to be sequenced, but its function was unknown until recently. It consists of 184 nucleotides that fold into an extended hairpin structure with a large single-stranded internal bulge. The 6S RNA specifically associates with RNA polymerase holoenzyme containing the sigma70 specificity factor.
Source: RNAcentral
AUGUUCCUGAGAUGUUCGUAAUAACCUAUAAUUUUGAACCUACAGUAGACAUACGGGAUCCGGAAGUUUUUAUCUGUAGCACAGGCCUCAAGCUAAUUCCGACAUCGGUGCUGAGCCGGAUGCAACGGCGGAGGAAGUGUGAACGGUAAAGCAGGGUACCCACCUGACGUGUGGCUAGGUGUCAAAAUAUAGGGGAACGGCAUUUUGGGGCAUGA